RNAcentral lists this ribosomal RNA (203 nucleotides) under Vibrio parahaemolyticus. RNAcentral's name for it is "partial 16S ribosomal RNA". It matches the Rfam family "Bacterial small subunit ribosomal RNA", at positions 149 to 354 of the family's 1533-position model. Lineage: Bacteria; Pseudomonadati; Pseudomonadota; Gammaproteobacteria; Vibrionales; Vibrionaceae. The record is from RNAcentral.
AUUGGAAACGAUGGCUAAUACCGCAUGAUGCCUACGGGCCAAAGAGGGGGACCUUCGGGCCUCUCGCGUCAGGAUAUGCCUAGGUGGGAUUAGCUAGUUGGUGAGGUAAGGGCUCACCAAGGCGACGAUCCCUAGCUGGUCUGAGAGGAUGAUCAGCCACACUGGAACUGAGACACGGUCCAGACUCCUACGGGAGGCAGCAG